CGCUGCCUGAACAACUUCCCUUUACAUCACUGCCCAAAUAAGGAGCUUUAAACUAACCUUUUCUAUUGCAGCCCGGCAGAAGAUCCCCCUGGAGUCCCAGGGUCCCCACCUCUCACCGGGCAGAGUCAUGGGAGAGCCGCGGCUGCAGCGCGGGGGGCAUGUGCAGACUGAAUUAAAUCGUGGGCAAACAAAAGAGAGACACCGCCAAAAUUACAGACUACCAAGUCCACUAAAUGUGGGAAAUACUUUUCCAAGGCUUUUGAACUCAAAAGUGGAACAGAAGGAAGACACAGGGGGACAUACACCGUUCAGUGUUAUUUUCCUUACACAGGAAAAAAAGAUCAUUAUGAGAUGAGCACUAAAGUCUCAAGUUUUCAAAGGUUUGCAUAACAAACAAGAGACACAUUGUGGGUUGCAUCUUGACUUUGAAGGCUUGCCACUGUCAACUGAAAUAAAAUGGCAAGGUUUAAAGCCUUAACCAAGUUCACAAGGAAAAUAUUUGGACUAAAAGUUUUGGAAAGUUUUCUCUCUUUGAAGUAGUUUGUCAUGUGUUACCAAUGUGAACUUUAUUGACCUUGAAACAUUUUUUUUUUUGAAUCAAAUAGCAACUAGUGACACUUUAGUAAAAUCUUAAAUCAACAACCAUCUCCUGGAGGCUCCAGCUUCGUAGCAAAUGCAGGCAAAACAGGGAAUCUACAGAAGAGACCUUUAUUAUUCGUAAAUGAAGCCUGCCAAAACCUUCCCGAAAUAGCAU
This 754-nucleotide long non-coding RNA is filed under the name Otus sunia (Oriental scops-owl). RNAcentral's name for it is "lncRNA (ENSOSUG00000009016.1)". The record is from RNAcentral. Lineage: Eukaryota; Metazoa; Chordata; Aves; Strigiformes; Strigidae.